This is a long non-coding RNA of Pelmatolapia mariae (spotted tilapia), 770 nucleotides long. RefSeq lists it as uncharacterized. Lineage: Eukaryota; Metazoa; Chordata; Actinopteri; Cichliformes; Cichlidae. The record is from RefSeq and is a predicted model, not a curated record. The transcript has 3 exons.
GCGUCAUGAUGUGCGUCUAGUACUUUGGAUACCAUAUGCCACUUUCACUGCAUUGAAUCUCCCUUCGGUGCCAUCAUCACCUUUAGAGGUUAACAGUGCACAGUCCUGUUAUCUGUGUGCUGAUGAACAAGCAGGAUUCCCAUUCGUGCAGUAAGGCUCCUCCCAACAUCAACCUCAUCCUUAUCAGUCAUCCAAGUCUCCACCUGCUACAUUUCUGCCAGCAUGUUUCAAGGCUUUGGGAGUCCUGCCCUACUUCCUAAUCAGUCAUCUAAGCAGAGAAGCCCAGAUCUCCCUCUUGCUGCUUCCUGCAGCUCUUCCAGGGAGACACCGGGAUGAAGACAGCCAGUAGAUGCAAUCACGACAUCACAUUCUGCAUCCACCCCAGAGCCUCCUAACAGUGAUAUCUGCCCAAAACAUGUCACCCUUGUGGCUCACAGGUUAUUUUUACAAAUUACAUUUUCACCAUAACCAUUUGCUUUAGUGUUAGUUCCUAUUCGUAUGCACUGAAUAGCAAUACAUCAUUCUCAUUCUCGUAUUCCUAUUCGCACGAGUCUCCUCAUGGUUAACUUGGGUGGUUACUUUUCCUGUAUAUUACAUUCAUAAAAAGAAGUCUGUGAUUGGUUUGCAUGUAUGCACUACUGUGACAAACAUCAGUAACUAUGUUACUACAUUUGUGUUUCCACAAAGUUCAAGGAUUAAAUCUUUCAGCUGAAUGAAACAGUUGCAAAAUCUGUUUAUUAGGUGUGUUGGUUUCAGUGAAGUACAUAAAU